GACAUAGGUGGCGAACGUUAUCCGGCUUUAUUGGGCGUAAAGGGUGCGUAGGCGGUGGCGUAAGUUGGAUGUGAAAUCCCGGAGCUUAACUCCGGAACUGCAUUCAAUACUGCGCUGCUAGAGUACUGGAGAGGAGAUUGGAAUUCACGGUGUAGCAGUGAAAUGCGUAGAUAUCGUGAGGAAGACCAGUGGCGAAGGCGAAUCUCUGGACAGUAACUGACGCUGAGGCACGAAGGCCAGGGGAGCAAACGGG
Molecule: ribosomal RNA, 253 nt
Filed under: uncultured bacterium
Lineage: Bacteria
Description: partial 16S ribosomal RNA
Rfam family: Bacterial small subunit ribosomal RNA
Source: RNAcentral